This 427-nucleotide ribosomal RNA is filed under the name uncultured organism. Its description in RNAcentral is "bacterial SSU rRNA". It matches the Rfam family "Bacterial small subunit ribosomal RNA", at positions 56 to 527 of the family's 1533-position model. The record is from RNAcentral.
UGCAGUCGUACGAGAGUUUUUAACUCUAGUGGCGGACGGGUGAGUAACACGUAAGAAUUUGCCUUUAGGAGGGGGAUAAGCUGGAGACAGUAAGUAAUACCCCAUAUGCUUUCGAGUGAAAUGAAUUGUUUCGCCUAGAGAGAAGCUUGCGGCUGAUUAGCUUGUUGGUAGGGUAAUGGCCUACCAAGGCGACGAUCAGUAUCUGGUUUGAGAGGACGAUCAGACACACUGGAACUGAGACACGGUCCAGACUCCUACGGGAGGCAGCAGUGGGGAAUUUUCCGCAAUGGGCGAAAGCCUGACGGAGCAAUACCGCGUGAGGGAGGAAGGCUCUUGGGUUGUAAACCUCUUUUCUCAGGGAAGAAGCUCUGACGGUACCUGAGGAAUCAGCCUCGGCUAACUCCGUGCCAGCAGCCGCGGUAAUACG